This 253-nucleotide ribosomal RNA is filed under the name uncultured bacterium. Its description in RNAcentral is "partial 16S ribosomal RNA". It matches the Rfam family "Bacterial small subunit ribosomal RNA", at positions 524 to 776 of the family's 1533-position model. The record is from RNAcentral.
UACGAAGGGGGCUAGCGUUGUUCGGAUUUACUGGGCGUAAAGCGCACGUAGGCGGUUCGUUAAGUCGGGGGUGAAAGCCUGGAGCUCAACUCCAGAACUGCCUUCGAUACUGGCGAUCUCGAGUCCGGAAGAGGUGAGUGGAACUCCUAGUGUAGAGGUGGAAUUCGUAGAUAUUAGGAAGAACACCAGUGGCGAAGGCGGCUCACUGGUCCGGUACUGACGCUGAGGUGCGAAAGCGUGGGGAGCAAACAGG